Molecule: ribosomal RNA, 319 nt
Filed under: uncultured Pseudomonadota bacterium
Lineage: Bacteria; Pseudomonadati; Pseudomonadota
Description: bacterial SSU rRNA
Rfam family: Bacterial small subunit ribosomal RNA
Source: RNAcentral
AUUGAACGCUGGCGGCAUGCCUUACACAUGCAAGUCGAACGGUAACGCGGGGCAACCUGGCGACGAGUGGCGAACGGGUGAGUAAUACAUCGGAACGUGCCCAGUAGUGGGGGAUAGCCCGGCGAAAGCCGGAUUAAUACCGCAUACGACCUACGGGUGAAAGCGGGGGAUCGCAAGACCUCGCGCUAUUGGAGCGGCCGAUGUCAGAUUAGGUAGUUGGUGGGGUAAAGGCCUACCAAGCCUACGAUCUGUAGCUGGUCUGAGAGGACGACCAGCCACACUGGGACUGAGACACGGCCCAGACUCCUACGGGAGGCAG